RNAcentral lists this transfer RNA (88 nucleotides) under Pseudomonadota bacterium. Its description in RNAcentral is "tRNA-Ser". It matches the Rfam family "tRNA". From Rfam's summary of the family: Transfer RNA (tRNA) molecules are approximately 80 nucleotides in length. Lineage: Bacteria; Pseudomonadati; Pseudomonadota. RNAcentral also lists the same sequence under 2 other names. The record is from RNAcentral.
GGAGAGGUGCCAGAGUGGUUGAUCGGGGCGCUCUCGAAAAGCGUUGUGCAGUAACCCUGCACCGUGGGUUCGAAUCCCACCCUCUCCG